CCGAGUUCAAGUGAACAUUUAAGAUGAAGCUGCUAUAUUUAUUGUUCGUGGUAUUAGCGGCUCUAAGUACCAUUGCCCUGGCUAAACCAGUCGUGCCUUUCAAACCGGCGGAGUGUCCUCCAGGAUAUAAGUUGGGUUCUAAUGGAAUAUGCAAGAAAACGUUUUAAUAGGUAGCAGAAAUGGGAGAAGAAAGUGCCUAGAUAUCAGCACAAACAUGGACGCAUAAUUCUUCUUACACAACGAUUUUGAAUGUAUCUCUUAGAACAAUAACGUUGAAGAAUUACAGCAAGCUUUAAUAUGCAAAUCAACAUUAAAAUUAUGUGGUAUCACAUAUUUUUUGGU
Molecule: long non-coding RNA, 342 nt
Organism: Helicoverpa zea (corn earworm)
Lineage: Eukaryota; Metazoa; Arthropoda; Insecta; Lepidoptera; Noctuidae
Exons: 2
Source: RefSeq, a predicted model, not a curated record